ACUUAUUAAACCAAAACCCACCCGAAUUCCUCAUUCUUCUUCGUGCAGCUAGGGCUCCAAAGUUCCUCCCUUUUUUAUUCCUCUUCUUUCUUUCUUCAUCUUCAAUAUUCCCUCUUCUUUCUCAUGCUAGAUUCUCGGAUUAAAGUACGUAUUUAUAAUUUUUGGUGUGUAAAGUUUUAGGGUUUUGAAAUUUUUGGUAACUGUAAAAUAUAUAUUUUUUUUGUUUGACUUUUAUCUAAUAAAAAAUAGAAUCUCUGAGUGCUUUUAGGCUUCUUUUUUUUUAUAGUUUAUUGUAUGUAAAAUAUAUAAAAAUUAUGGUGGUGGGAUUUUUAUUUCAAUAAAUUAUCGUCUUUUGUUUAUCUUAUGCCAUUGAUUCUUGUAUAUAUUAAUGCUUUGAAUAUAACUUAACGUGCUCUCUUUUUUGUGUUUGAUGUCGCAUGUGGUAUUUGAAGAAUGGUUGAAAAAAUAGAUUUGAUUUGUAAUUAUGGGGGUCAGUGGGUAAGGAAACCACAACUAGUGUAUAGUAAAAAACUUAUUCACGUGUGGAGAAGUUACUAAACAAUUUUUUUGUCUUACAUUGAUAUUUGUAAAGAAUUCAAGAGUGAGAAGUUUGGGUUGAUUGAGGUGAAGCAACUUUUAGUGAUUGAACCAUCUGGUAGAUAUUAUGUGGUCGUAGGGGAAGAAGGUGUUAGAGCUCUCCAUAGUUUACUUUCAGAUCAGUUCUAUAUUUUGAACUUAUUUGCGGUAGACAAAUAUGAAGAAGAUAUCGUGUCUUUUCGAACAUUAUUCACUUCCAUGAGUCUUAUAAUUUUAAUGUAGAACUUGGAGAAGAUUGUGAUAGUAGUGAGGAGCGUGUAGAUAAUAAUUCAUUGUCUAGUGAAGAAGAUGAUAGAGAAGAAAGGUUGGAAGAGGAGAGUGUAGAUAAUAAUUCAUUGUCUAGUGAAGAAGAUGAUAGAGAAGAAAGGUUGGAAGAGGAGAGUGUAGAUAAUAAUUCAUUGUCUAGUGAAGAAGAUGAUAGAGAAGAAAGGUUGGAAGAGGAGAGUGUAGAUAAUAAUUCAUUGUCUAGUGAAGAAGAUGAUAGAGAAGAAAGGUUGGAAGUAUUCAAAAAGCAAAGGAGACUUGGUAUCACUGAAAAGCUUGAAGAGUACAAGGUCUUAGAGAAAGGUAUGUCCUUUAAAGACCUACCCGAAGCUAAACAAGUUGUUGGUUUGUAUGUUGUUUCAAAUAAAAAGGGAUUAUAGGUAUAAAAAAAAAUGAUACAGGUAGAGUUACAUAUGGUUGUGAUGAGGGUUGUCCAUUUUAUUGUCAUAUUUCCAAGGAUGGGAAUGAUCAAGAUUUUAAGAUCAAGACUUUAAAUUUAAUACACGAUUGUGAUGAUGCAUAUGAAAAUAAAAGAGCAUCAACUGAUACUUUAGCACAAUACUUUAGAAGAAAAAUUCAGAACAAUACUAAGUAUAAGAUAAAAGAAAUGAAGGACGAGUUGGAGACACAAUUUAAACUUAAUGUGAGUAAGUCAAAGCUGAAAAGGUUAAAAGGCUUGCUUUGGAGAAAUUGGAGGGUAGUUACUUGGAUGAUUACAAUAGGUUGGAGGGAUAUGCACAAGAAUUGAGAAGGAUCAAUCCUAGUUUUGACAUGGUGAUUAAUAUAAACAAAGAUGCUUUGGCAGAAGGUAAGAGGAGAUUUUUAAUGAUGUAUGUGUGCUUCCAAGCUUUAAAAUGUGGCUGGAGAGAAGGUUUGAGACCUUUGAUGGAUGGUACAUUUCUGAAAGGAAAAUGCAUGGGACAAUUGUUAGUGGUUGUCGGCCAAGAUUCAGUCAAGCAUGUUUACCCACUUGCUUGGGCAGUGGUUGAUAAAGAAACAAGUAGAACAUGGACUUAGUUUAUGGAGUUGCUGAAACAGUCUUUGGACUUGAAGGAUGGUGAUUGAGUAACUUUUAUGUUAGAUAUGCAAAAGAGCUUGUUGGAUGCUGUCAGUAAAGUUUGUCCACAUGCCAAUCACAGAUUUUGUGUGAGACAUGUUGAAUCUAAUUGGAGCGAAAUUUGGAAUGGUGAUGAAAUGAAAAAGUUUCUAUGGUGGUGUGCUUGGAGUACAUAUGAAGAAGAAUUCAAGGAUCAAUUGAAGAAGUUGGGUGAAGUCUCAAAGGAAGCUGCUAAGAGGUUAUUAUGUUAUCCACCAACAAACUGGUGUAGAGCAUAUUUUGACACCCUAUGUAAAAAUAUGAUGAUGGACAACAACUUCACAAAAUCCUUUAACUCAUGAAUUCUAAAAGUUAUGAAUAUUUUAAGGGAUCAUGAAGCAUAAGCUAUGGGUUGGAAAGGUGAUAUUAGUCCACAUGCCAUGCAGAUUUACAGUGAUUACAGGAGGAUAACUUUAGAAUGCAAGGUUGAAUUUAAUGGGGAGAGGGGCUAUAAAGUCGCUGAUGGUGGAGAUAGUCACACAAUGAGUAUAGAGCUAAAGAGGUGUACUUGCAGGGCAUGGGACUUGUAUGGAAUCCCAUGUCCUCAUGCAAUAAAAGUACUCAUGCACAAAACAAUUAACCCCCUACUGAAAUUCAUUGGUGGUAUUCUAAGGAGGCUUACAUGUUGGUUUAUAAACACAAGCUUCAACUUGUUAUGGGGAAGAGGUUCUAGAAAGUGGAGCCACAACAUGCCAUGGCACCACCACCUUUAUCUAAGAUGGUUGGUAGGCCAAAGGUGAAGAGAACAAGAGAAAAGAGUGAGGGUAGUAAUAGGUCAAAGGCUAUGGUCAGCUUCAAGGAGAGGACUUAGAAUGAGUUGUGGUUGUUGUAGUGCACCAGACCACAAUAUAAGGAGAUGUCCACUGGUCGAAGACAAGAAUAAGACUAACUUCCAUGAAGAACAAAACUCCCAAUCAGUAGAAGAUGUCCACAUGACAGUACCUCAAGAUACUCAACAAUCAGAAUUUAUUUUCAUUCCAGUUCCUGAUUUGAAUUUGUAACGACUCAACCGGUCGUUUUGAGAUCUAGCGCAUCGUUCAGCGGUUUGAGGCCCUGAGUAGCUUCACUUCAGGUAUUAUGACUUGUACGUGUGGUCGGAAUUGAAUUUCGGGAAGUUCGGAGUUGAUUUGGAAAGAAAAUUCUAAUUUCGGAAGCCUUAAAGUUGGAAAAAUUGACUAAGGUUUGACUUUUGAGUAAAGACCUCAGAUCUCCCUCGGCAGUGUACACAUAGGUUCGUAUGAUGAUUUCGGAC
Nicotiana tabacum (common tobacco) is the source of this 3209-nucleotide long non-coding RNA. RefSeq lists it as uncharacterized. The record is from RefSeq and is a predicted model, not a curated record. Lineage: Eukaryota; Viridiplantae; Streptophyta; Magnoliopsida; Solanales; Solanaceae.